Molecule: ribosomal RNA, 205 nt
Filed under: uncultured Actinomycetes bacterium
Lineage: Bacteria; Bacillati; Actinomycetota; Actinomycetes
Description: uncultured actinobacterium partial 16S ribosomal RNA
Rfam family: Bacterial small subunit ribosomal RNA
Source: RNAcentral
GAUGUUGGGUUAAGUCCCGCAACGAGCGCAACCCUUGUCCCAUGUUGCCAGCGGGUAAUGCCGGGGACUCGUGGGAGACUGCCGGGGUCAACUCGGAGGAAGGUGGGGAUGACGUCAAGUCAUCAUGCCCCUUAUGCCCAGGGCUUCACACAUGCUACAAUGGCCAGUACAGAGGGUUGCGAAACCGUGAGGUGGAGCGAAUCCC